Non-coding RNA from Lentinula detonsa, 90 nucleotides. Lineage: Eukaryota; Fungi; Basidiomycota; Agaricomycetes; Agaricales; Omphalotaceae. The record is from the annotation of a GenBank genome assembly.
GGGCAUGUAGCGUAGGGGUUAUCGCGUUCGCUUUGCAUGAAAAUCAAUCAGUAUUGCGAAAGGUCUCCGGUUCAAAUCCGGACUUGUCCA